GGUAACUGUUGUGUAUUUGAACUACAUUCUCAUAUUAAAAUUAUUUAUAUUUAACUUUUGUAGAAUUUUAUGAUUUUACAAUCUUAAUCAAAAAUAACUUAUUUCUAACAGAAUAAUUCGUCAAACAUGCCACUUUUCUUGUUGUCUUAUCAUUAAUGCAAGAGAAUUAGUGGAAACCACAAUUUUCAACUGUCAAGUUACUAUCUAAUUCUCAUAGCGAAACUAUCACAUGGUGGUGACAACUUGUUGUCGAGCUUGGUGUGCUUAAUUCUUUCCCUUGUACUAGCUGGUCCAACGUCCCACAAAUCCAUGAUUCAAGUUGUUAAUUGGACAACUUGAGCAUACAAACAUAAUUAAUUGCUAGUUAGCAUCCAAAAUAAUUAAUAUAUCGAACGAUAUUUUGCAGUAGUCAUAUUCUAACAUGCAUAUAUAUGUUAGUCAAGUAAAUAAAAGUCGUGCAACCUAUUAUAUAUCGAAUAUUGACUACUAACUAACUAUAAUUACAGAUCAGACCAAUAUAUACACACAUAUGGGAGACAUAUAUGUUGCUAUUAUCCAUUUUGCAGCAAUUUUGUGCAUGAAAGCAUGACAUUAUAAUAUUAUUCAGGGGCAUAAAAAGGAAUAAAAGAAUCAAAUUAAUAUUUAUAAUUAUAAAUAAUAAUAAAUAAAUAAAACUUGAAUAGGUCAAUUCACAACCAUAUACUUUGAAAUAGUUGUUGACUGUUCCUCUUCAAAAAAAAACCAAAAACAAUUGAAAUGAAUAAGUUAUACUCAAUAAAUUACAAACUAAGUAAGAUCAACAUUAGUUGAAAUUUACACUACAAAUCAACAUUAGUUGCAUUAAUCAAUUAAUUCCCAUGAAGAAUUAAUUAAGCUCAAGAACUAUUACUUUUUUCUUGAUGAAUAUCAUGAUCCUUUGAAGAAGCCACUCCAAAAUGAACCAUGACCUGAGGAAAAGCUGCAGUCGGUGCUGCCUGAUCUGCCGCUAGCGUGCACCGCCUGUUGCCCUUAUUCUGUGUCCCGGGGAUAUACGUGCAUGGAUUGCUGCCGGAGGACUGGACCGGACCCCGAGGAAGGGACUGGAUGACUAAAUUAUGUUGCUUCAACAAAAUAUCAUCUCCAUCCAAUGGCCUCAUUGCAAAAAUUUCUCGAAAUCCCGACACGAACAGUACUAUAAAAAUAAGUUUCGUUGUGAGAGCCAUAUAGAAAAAGUGUCUAAGAAAUUUUGUUUUGCCGAUAAAAUAAAUGUAUGUGCAUUAAUCGGAGAGUUUAUGGAGAUUGAGGAGGUUUUGAGAGUUUGGUGUUUGAUAAUAAUGGGGAGUGUUUGGUAGUGUGUAGUUUAUAUACAUCAUACAUGUGUAUAAG
RNAcentral lists this long non-coding RNA (1365 nucleotides) under Panax ginseng (ginseng). Its description in RNAcentral is "long non-coding RNA (PGIN_LNC000691)". The record is from RNAcentral. Lineage: Eukaryota; Viridiplantae; Streptophyta; Magnoliopsida; Apiales; Araliaceae.